RNAcentral lists this small nuclear RNA (291 nucleotides) under Salvator merianae (Argentine black and white tegu). RNAcentral's name for it is "7SK RNA (ENSSMRG00000017915.1)". It matches the Rfam family "7SK RNA". Rfam says of the family: 7SK was discovered as an abundant small nuclear RNA in the mid-70s but a possible function has only recently been suggested. Two independent studies have found that 7SK RNA binds the CDK9/cyclin T complex (known as elongation factor P-TEFb). P-TEFb activates transcription by phosphorylating the C-terminal domain of RNA polymerase II. Lineage: Eukaryota; Metazoa; Chordata; Lepidosauria; Squamata; Teiidae. The record is from RNAcentral.
AGAUGUAAGGGUGAUUUGUCUGCGAUAUCUGUCACCUCACUGAUCACCAGGGUUGAUUCAGCUGAUCUGACAGGCUACGUGGGUGUCCCCUUUCUUCCCUUAACACUCCAUAUUCAUUCCUUCCAAAGCUCUAUGCUCAAUAUAAGAAGACCUUCUCAGAUAAAAGUGUACCUUCUUUUGGUCAAAGGUGUACAAUAUCUGCAGUCCCCUACUAGAACCUCCAAACAAGCUCAAGGUCCUUUCUCAGAUUCAAAUAUACUAUGUUCAUAUACCAAGGUAAGAUCAUCAGAU